Molecule: long non-coding RNA, 275 nt
Organism: Clupea harengus (Atlantic herring)
Lineage: Eukaryota; Metazoa; Chordata; Actinopteri; Clupeiformes; Clupeidae
Exons: 4
Source: RefSeq, a predicted model, not a curated record
ACAACGAGGACCAAAAGGUUUGAUGCAGAUCUAGAUCAUAUGAACCUCUCCCCCAUGAUACGCCACCUUGUGGAGAACAUGACAGAAGAGCAUUGGAGAAUUGUCCGUGAGGCUCUAUGUGUGCCUAGGACCAAAGAAGAAGUUGGCCAUCUUUGUGCUAUCAUAGUGAAGAAAGUAGUCCAGACUGCUCAUUAUUACCUGCUCCCAGUCCUCAGUGAAAUUCUGGGUGUUCCUGUCGCAUACGUAUGUGGAAUGACAAGAUCAGGGCAACACAC